UGCCUCCGGCGACAUGGUGGGAUCUUUACGCCAAUCGGAGGCAAGCAGAGGAAGCCGGUGCGAAUCCGGCGCGGUCCCGCCACUGUCACCGGGGAGUACCUGCGAACAACGGCCACGGCGGCUUCACGCUGCUGGAAGGCCCGCCGGUGCGUCGAUCCGGAAGCCAGGAGACUCUCGCCUUCGGAUCGUCGAU
This 193-nucleotide non-coding RNA is filed under the name Streptacidiphilus jiangxiensis. The record is from RNAcentral. Lineage: Bacteria; Bacillati; Actinomycetota; Actinomycetes; Kitasatosporales; Streptomycetaceae.